Molecule: transfer RNA, 68 nt
Filed under: Teredorus nigropennis
Lineage: Eukaryota; Metazoa; Arthropoda; Insecta; Orthoptera; Tetrigidae
Also listed under: 1 other name
Description: tRNA-Asp
Source: RNAcentral
AAGAAAUUAGUUAAAUAAACAUAACAUUAAAAUGUCAAUUUAAAAUAACCCAACAUAGGUAUUUCUUG